This 86-nucleotide transfer RNA is filed under the name Alphaproteobacteria bacterium MarineAlpha5_Bin11. RNAcentral describes it as "tRNA-Leu". It matches the Rfam family "tRNA". Rfam says of the family: Transfer RNA (tRNA) molecules are approximately 80 nucleotides in length. Their secondary structure includes four short double-helical elements and three loops (D, anti-codon, and T loops). Further hydrogen bonds mediate the characteristic L-shaped molecular structure. tRNAs have two regions of fundamental functional importance: the anti-codon, which is responsible for specific mRNA codon recognition, and the 3' end, to which the tRNAs corresponding amino acid is attached (by aminoacyl-tRNA synthetases). tRNAs cope with the degeneracy of the genetic code in two manners: having more than one tRNA (with a specific anti-codon) for a particular amino acid; and 'wobble' base-pairing, i.e. permitting non-standard base-pairing at the 3rd anti-codon position. Lineage: Bacteria; Pseudomonadati; Pseudomonadota; Alphaproteobacteria. The record is from RNAcentral. RNAcentral also lists the same sequence under 1 other name.
GGGCGUGUGGUGGAAUGGUAGACACGGUAGACUCAAAAUCUACUCGGUGCAAGCCGGUGGAGGUUCAAAUCCUCUCACGCCUACCA